Molecule: ribosomal RNA, 566 nt
Filed under: Acremonium sp. C65
Lineage: Eukaryota; Fungi; Ascomycota; Sordariomycetes; Hypocreales; Bionectriaceae
Description: eukaryotic LSU rRNA
Rfam family: Eukaryotic large subunit ribosomal RNA
Source: RNAcentral
GCAUAUCAAUAAGCGGAGGAAAAGAAACCAACAGGGAUUGCCUUAGUAACGGCGAGUGAAGCGGGAACAGCUCAAAUUUGAAAUCUGGCCCUCGGGUCCGAGUUGUAAUUUGUAGAGGAUGCUUUUGGUGCGGUGCCUUCCGAGUUCCCUGGAACGGGACGCCUUAGAGGGUGAGAGCCCCGUACGGUUGGACGCCUAGCCUCUGUAAAGCUCCUUCGACGAGUCGAGUAGUUUGGGAAUGCUGCUCUAAAUGGGAGGUAUAUUUCUUCUAAAGCUAAAUACCGGCCAGAGACCGAUAGCGCACAAGUAGAGUGAUCGAAAGAUGAAAAGCACUUUGAAAAGAGGGUUAAAUAGCACGUGAAAUUGUUGAAAGGGAAGCGUUUAUCACCAGACUUUUUCUAGGGGGAUCAUCCGGGGUUCUCCCCGGUGACUUCCCCUAGUUGAGGCCAGCAUCGGUUUUCGGAGGGGGAUAAAAGCUUCGGGAAUGUGACUCCCUCGGGAGUGUUAUAGCCCGUUGCAUAAUACCCUUCUGGGGACCGAGGUUCGCGCAUCUGCAAGGAUGCUGG